Pangasius djambal is the source of this 72-nucleotide non-coding RNA. The record is from the annotation of a GenBank genome assembly. NCBI's taxonomy places the organism in Eukaryota, Metazoa, Chordata, Actinopteri, Siluriformes, Pangasiidae.
UCCCUGGAGGACUAGUGGUUAUGCCAUGGCCCUCUCACUGCCAUGGCCCGGGUUCAGUUCCUGCCCAGGGAA